Molecule: transfer RNA, 70 nt
Filed under: Marmota monax (woodchuck)
Lineage: Eukaryota; Metazoa; Chordata; Mammalia; Rodentia; Sciuridae
Description: tRNA.Ile
Source: RNAcentral
GGGAUGUAGCUCAGUUGUGGAGUGCUUGCCUAAUGUGUGUGAGGCCCUGGGUUCAAUCCCCUGUAUCACA